Molecule: ribosomal RNA, 450 nt
Filed under: Thylacoplethus porcellanus
Lineage: Eukaryota; Metazoa; Arthropoda; Thecostraca; Thompsoniidae
Description: bacterial SSU rRNA
Rfam family: Eukaryotic small subunit ribosomal RNA
Source: RNAcentral
GCCAGUAAUGAUAUGCUUGUCUUAAAGAUUAAGCCAUGCAUGUGUUAGUACUAGCUUUUAAAGUGAAACCGCGAAUGGCUCAUUAAACCAGCUAUGAUUUGCUGGCCGAGACGUGUUACAUGGAUAACUUUGGUAAUUCUAUAGCUAAUACAUGCUGCCGGCUUGCUAGUGUGUGGCUUUGGUUGCACGCUGGUGAGGUUUUUAUUGGCUUAGUAGACCUGCUACGCUCUGGCCGCAAGGCUAGGCGCUAGUACAUAUCUGUGGAAUCACGAUAACGUGUUGUGAAUCGUACAGUCUUGAACUGACGAUGCGCUCUAUAAAUGUCUGACCUAUCAGCUGUGGACGGUUUGAUAGAGGCCGACCGUGGCAUUGACGGGUGACGGGGAAUCUGGGUUCGAUUCCGGAGAGGGAGCCUGAGAAACGGCUACCACAUCUAAGGAAGGCAGCAGA